AUGACGGCGCCUUCCGCCGGCGCGCCCCUUCUCCUCUUCCGCCAGGAGCCUGCGGAGCCGCGCAACCAUUCCAUCCCCACGCCCGUCGCCCCCUCUGCUCUACCCCGUCCCUGCGCCUCCUCCAUGGCUUUCCUUCCUUGCCGCCAUGGACGCGAGGGUCGAGCUCGCCGCCCUGCCGCGUCGCCAGGGCCACCGGGCACCGCAUCCUGCUGGGCCUCCCGUGCAUCGUCCUCGCCGCUGAACCGUCUCAUCUCCUUCCUCCUCGCGCGUGUCUGUGACAAGCAUCUCCAGCAGCAUGCCAUGCGGCCGCGUGUCGGUCGUCGGACCUCGACAAGUAGGACUCGGCCACCGGUGACCUGA
Molecule: ribosomal RNA, 360 nt
Filed under: Triticum aestivum (bread wheat)
Lineage: Eukaryota; Viridiplantae; Streptophyta; Magnoliopsida; Poales; Poaceae
Description: partial small subunit ribosomal RNA
Source: RNAcentral